GGCUCACUUAUAGAAAAAAAGGUCAUCCUCGAAAUCGAAUCAGCCCUCCUUGACUCUAUCAUAUCACAAUCAAUGAAAUGAGCAGCUGUGAACACAAUUUUGUCAACACCAAUUCAAAACAUAACGCACACCAUCGGCUGCUGAUUCAUGAUUGAGUGAAAUUACUUCCUACUUCACAGAUCUCCAAAUCUACUACUUUACACUAACCUAGCAAGACAAUGCAAAUGGAAUGAACACUUCAUCUUACUGAACUAUUUAACGGACUGAACAUUGAGAUUUGAAUUCUAAUAAUUGGUAUCAUUGAAGUAUGACUACAAAA
Molecule: long non-coding RNA, 319 nt
Organism: Bolinopsis microptera
Lineage: Eukaryota; Metazoa; Ctenophora; Tentaculata; Lobata; Bolinopsidae
Exons: 2
Source: RefSeq, a predicted model, not a curated record